RNAcentral lists this long non-coding RNA (5883 nucleotides) under Lepisosteus oculatus (spotted gar). RNAcentral describes it as "lncRNA (ENSLOCG00000022514.1)". The record is from RNAcentral. Lineage: Eukaryota; Metazoa; Chordata; Actinopteri; Semionotiformes; Lepisosteidae.
AUGGAAAUUGGAGUCAGGGCUGAGAUACCAGCAGGGGCCAGGGGCACAGGAGCUGGAAACUUGGAGGUGUUGAAGAUGCCAACUCAAGAUCUGGGCAUGGAACAUGACAGCAUUUUAAAGAGGUCCUCUGCCAUCCCCGAUUUCUUCAGUGACGAUGGCGAUUUGAACACCACCGGAAUGACAGAGCAAGACACCGUUCCUGAAAGGAUGCAAGUAUUUCAGGACUCAGGUCUGGAGGACACUGCAGUGAAGGACUCCAAGAGUCCCAACAGUUCAUUUGGGACUUUGGGAUCUGUUCGCACUUUGCCGUUUCCUGCUGGAUCGCAGGAUACUAUGGAAAACCAAGGGCCGGAGCAGGAGCUCCUAGCUUCAGACACAGAUAAGCAGGAAAGCGCAGAGGAAGAGCACGAUCAGAGAUCUCCAGAUCCCGAUAAGCCGAAGCCGCUCCCAAAUCCUGAUAGUUUCCUCGAGGCGAGGGUGGAAGCUCCAAAGGAAGCCAAGCCUGAACGUCCUGGAAAGAAAUCCGGAGGGAAAGAAAAAUCGGAGAAGGCGAGAAGGAAGAAAGGGAAGAGGGGUCAAUCAGAAAACUCUUCGCAACUCUGGGAAAAAAUGGCUCAAUACUUGGUCUCUGUCCUGCUGCCCAUCUCUCUGAAGAUCGCGAAGACCUGCUGGAAAGGAAGCACCUCAAAAUCGAGGGGCAAGGUCCUGAAACGACCAGGGAGGCCACAGACAGGAAAAGCCAGUUGUCUUAUCACAUGCAUAUUUCUCUUAUCAUUGCUGAGAACCGCUUGCUGUGGUGUACUGGCUUGCCCUGGAGACGUUGUGAAACUACAUUUCAACCUCACUGGUAAUUUAAAAGGACAUGUUUCGCUUAUUAACAGCACUUCCAACAUCUACUUUUACUACACUCAACAUCAGCCCAAUACGUGUCGCCCAGAGGUGUUAGAAAAAUUUGAACCAUGCUUGUCCAAGGAUGGCGAAACUCUCUACCUGACCAGGAUCGCAUCAAAGUCCACUGCAAUCAAAUACACCCUGGAGUAUGAGACUGAUGAAGGAGCUUCUGUAACCAUGUCUCUCUCUCUGUCCUUGAAAAGUAAGUUCAAUGUAGUGAAAUCUGUGCAAAAAGGUGAAAGUUGUAGCUAGUUAAAUACAAAAGUAUGAGAACUGUACUUUGUUAAAGACGAAUAUUUUGCAUAAUUAACUUGGCAAAUAUACUCAACUAACAAAUUAGCUUUCAGCAAUUGUACUCUCAAGUGCAUACUACAUAUGGUCAUCAUCAUCAUACACCACACUAUUGUUUAAUUUAUUUGAAUGUAAUAAACUUUUAAUUACGUCUUAACUCAAGGUCCAGUUCAAUAAGCACAAACUUGUGAGAACCUUAUGAUAUAGGCAACUAAAUUAUUUUCUUUGAAUUAAUUGUAUAUUGUUAGCAUGCUCAAAGGGGUUGGACAGCCAGUUGGCCUUGGACCCCUAGAGGUUUUUUGGUUCCUCUCCUCCAUGGUCUUCUGGUCUUUUCUGUUCUGUGCUCACAACAUGCGUGGUCACCUGCAUUGCUAAGCGCCUUGGGGGGACCUUGCUGUGAAAGGCGCUAUAUAAAAAUACAUUGAAUUGAAUUAAGAUUCUAUUGCACACAGGCAAUAUAAUCUAGCCCUAGUCUGUGGGCAGACAAGCAAAAUUCUCAUAGCCAGGCACCACAAGUCAGAAUCGGAUCCAGCUGUGCUAACUGCCACUCUGCCACACUGCGCACAGAUGAUUGAACAUUUGUCCAGAGCUUUUUGUUUUAAAAAUAUUUUUAGAAUCAUGUUGUCUGACUUCAUUAGGAGGAGCUGGGGUUGCCAACAGCAUCUGUUGUGGUGCAUAAGGAUGUUGCUGUUAUUAUUUAGAAAGGCAGAAACCCGAGAAGUUUAAAAUGAGUUAUACUGUAGUGGCUGGUGUUCAGAAUUUUUUGUUUGUUUCAUUUUAGAUUGUUCCGAUGACAAGCAUCCCACACCCAGUAAGUGUUUUUUUUUUUCAGCUUCCUCACCUGUUCCAUUUAUAGACAGGAGAUAUUCUCUUGUGGUUUAAAGCAGCAGAGAUGAGAGAAAAAUAAAUAUUUUAUUCCACUCAGUCCAGGGAGAACCGAGAAUUACUGGAAUAGUGUGCAGCAAUUCCAGCUUAGCCUGAUAAUUCUUCCUGAAUUGGGGAAAAAAAAACCUGGUUUGUAGAUCUUGUACUGCCAAGUCUAGAUCUUCCUGUAUUUUACCCAUAUUGGAAAAUAGUGUCUCACCUCAUAUGUGGCUCCAUAGCUGUACUGUCUACAGAGCUGAAAGUGCAGAUUACAAUUCAAUUUGGGACAGUUUAAAGAAAUAAAGAUAAUUAAACAGUCUACACAGACCUCAGCAGUUAUGUUGGGGGGGGGGUUGUUUGAGUGGCCUGCAAACUCUGAUUGCCAAUGAACAGCAGAUCAAGUGAGAUCCCCUUACUGGUUUUCUUCUUUUCCACACAGCGCCACCUACCUCUACUCCAUCUCCCCUUAAGACUGACUGUAAGUUCUACAAUUAACUGCUUUAACAAAAGAUUGUAACCAAUGUGGUUUCCUUUGCACUAUUACUGACUUUGUCGCAUGCAAACUUUUAUUCUCUCAAUGACUCAAAAGUGUGAUGUGUGUUAUAUCGAUUUGGCUGUGAGCAGCCCAUUCAUAAGAACUGCUUCAUGUGUCAUCUCUUUCAUAACUCUCACUUGGGGACUUUUGAGGGAUUUAUUCUGUAAAUCUAAGGUACAUUUGUGCUUUUACUGCUUAAGAACAUAAGAAACGAAAGGAGUUAAUUAUUCCCAGGUUCAUAUGCAGGCAUUUCUUGGAAGAAAGUAUGGUAUUGGCUUUAACAACGUUCUCAUUGAUAGUAGAUAUAUUAAUAAGAAAUCUUGUUGCUUUUUGUUCUCAUCUAGGGGCAGCUACACCUGUCUUCAUUACAGUGGCUUUCGUCUUUCUUGGAUCCUUGAUUGUGGGGCUGAUUUUAAGACACCGCUGUAAGAAGUAAGUGUGACUGAAUCGGUUUUCUGAUUGUGUUGAUAUUGUAUGGGAUUCUGCUAUUUCAGAAGCCAGACCAGGUGUAGUGCAAGUGCUCACAUUACUCCUGUCCUGGAGUCCUUACACUGGCUUCCUCUCAGGUUUCGUGUUGACUUCGACGGCUCGACAUGGCUUGGCAACAUGAGCUAUUUGACUUACUAUCAUUCCACUGUCCACCUCGAAACCUUCAUUCGUCUGAUUCUGGUCUUGUGUCUGUCCCCCAAGCUAUCUUACACUCUAUUAUUCAUAAUAAUUUAUUAAGAAUUUACAUUAUGUAGUAUACCGAGGCAUAUGAGAAGACUGGACUUACACAUCAAGCAUCCAUCCUGGUCUGUCGAUUCAGAUUUGUGAUCAGGGUAUGGGGAAUGUGGAAAAUGUCCCAUCAAGUCUGAAACAAAUCAAGAAAUCCAGCAUCACCUGAAGUGUGAGGAACUUCAAUGUGCAAUUAAGGCUAGAAUAAAUCGUUCGAUACUGCCCUCUAGUGUCUAGCCUGGAGAAAUAACAGGUGAUUUCAGAGGACGGUUGAAGGAAACAAGUUUUUUUUUUUUAUUUUGACUCAGAACAGGUAAGGUAUAUGGAUUUUGUCAGUCAGCUGUAGUCUAUUUCAUGUGAGAGAGCUGAAAGUCCACAUUGUGGUUUGAAAGACAGAAAUUAAAUUUCCUGUUGACAGAAAGCAAUAAAGAACUUCCCUGGUGACAGAAAAGAUAUCGUAAUUCCAGAAUGGAAGUUGAAAACUGAUUAGGUAGACAAUUAUGGCUAACGUGCAGGAGGAUACAGUACAAUCGUGCUAAGCCAGUGUGCAUGGUGAUGAACAGAAUUGUGCAGUGUGUUUUGGGGUUCUUAACCUCAUUCUCUUUUGAUCUUUCUAGGAAGAAAAUGUCAGGUGGAUGCAACACAGUGUUGUGUUAUUCACACAAUAGUGCCUCACAAGAGGAAACCACACAGGAUGGGUAAUUAAUCUUCUGUCUUCACCUAUUCACAUUAAUUUAAACAAAACAUGUUUCCAGAAGCCUAGUAUGCAGAAAAGUGAAAUUUAAGAGAAAAUUACAUUUUGACUUGAAGGAAAACAUAACACUACACUUGACAGAUACACACAGCUCUUUUAUAGUUGAAAGGAUAAGAAGAACUGUAAGGAUUUGUUAAUCUCCUAUUAGCUCGCUAUACAAUAAGUGCUCUCAGACAUUCAGUCAUAAAGCUUGAGCACGUGAAUUUUCUCAGUGCUUGUGUGCAUUUGCCUGAACUUCCAUGAGAUCAGGUUCAUGCAGAUUUUUUUUGUCACUCUAUGUGCUAAGCCUGAAAAAUAUUUGAUUGGGUUUUCUUGCAUUCUGUUGUUAUAAUUAGUUUCAAAAUAAUGCAGUGUAUAGAUCCAUGACUAAGGCUAGGAAAAAUGAAAAAAUGCACUUUAGCAUGGAAAUGUAGAUUAAAACUUGCAUAGCAUUACAAAAAAACAGCUUGACUAUGAAACACAUACCCAACCUUAUGGCUCAUCUGAUUUAUCCCGUACUACCUUACAUCAUGAAUACUCAUGCCAUUCAUCCUUCCUGCAGGCAAGCGAUGAAUCGGAUGUUAAACUGAAAUCCGACUGAUUCUUCAGCAGUGGAUGCUGUAACUCGGACAACAGGAAGCCAGUCUUUGGAAUGAGCUGUAGCUCCAGGUUUGCCUGGCUAGGCCUGGCCUCCACCAUGCUGUUCCUGAAUUGGUUAAAUGAUGAAUUAUACUGAAUUCUAAUAUUAGUAAGGACUGUAAAAUAAAUACCAGUCUGCUUUUCACACCUCCUUUUGAGCCUUGGUUCCUCGCAAGGUUUCUUCUUCCUGUAAUGUGAGGGAGUUUUUCCUGGCCACUGUCGCCUUCGGCUUGCUCACUGGGAGCUCAGGCCCAGGAGUCUGUGAAGCGCUUUUUACAAUGUCACAAGGCAGUGUGGUGGCAUGGCUGCCUCACUGUGUGAGUGCACUGUUUGUAAUUCCAGGGCUUUACAAACAGUGGAGCAUGUACUGUAGGUUUUCUCCUGGUGCUCUGGUCCAGAGACAUACUGGGAAGUGAAUUGGCUUCUGCCCUCCCAUGAACUGGUCCCCCAUCCAGGGUAUACACUUCCUUAUGCCCGGACACUGGAAUAUCUCCCAACUCUUCUUGAGAAAUGCCUGGCCAUCAUUAAUGAUCGCUGAGAGUCAGGACCUCGGUUUAACAUCUCAUCCCAAAGAUGGUGCACACUACAGUAGAGUGUCCCUGCCAUUAUACUGGGGCAUUAGGCACUGGUCCCACUAACACCACUUCCAACAGCAACCAUAGCUUCCCAGGAGGUCACCCACUGACCAGCCUCAACCCUGCUGAGCUUCAGUGGGUGGCCAGCUGAGUGCUGCAGGGUGAUACAGCUGCUGGCUGUAACCCCGUCUGCUUGUGCUUUGUUAUCUAUAAGCAAAUCAUAUAAAUAAUUACGAGCUUCUGCUUAUUAAAUGUAUAUCUGCUUCAUAGUGGUGUAUCGUUUUCCUUAGAUCCGUUACUUCGCUUUUCCAAGGGAAUUUAGUCGAUUGUGUACACUCAACGCGAUAGUUUGUUUUACAUAUCUUAUGCGUUUUAUUCUGCUGUUAUUGUUCUCUUUCCUAGUUGUUGAUACUACUGAAACUGAAAAUAAAAAACUUUGUUUUUCAACAUUUCUCAUGGUCGCUCUUUUGUACUUGACUUUCCCAGACAGUUGCAGGAAAAAAAAAAACGUAUUCGGCGUUGUCACAACAGAUCCAGUCUCAACUAGACGGUGGUUUAGGAAAUUACCUGAACAUGUUGCAAUAUCUUCAGUUCAGCGGCCUGAACUAAAAUUCCAUGAUAAACUUUUUCUAGUAUCA